Molecule: transfer RNA, 76 nt
Filed under: Acidobacteriota bacterium
Lineage: Bacteria; Pseudomonadati; Acidobacteriota
Also listed under: 1 other name
Description: Acidobacteria bacterium tRNA-Leu
Rfam family: tRNA
About the family: Transfer RNA (tRNA) molecules are approximately 80 nucleotides in length. Their secondary structure includes four short double-helical elements and three loops (D, anti-codon, and T loops). Further hydrogen bonds mediate the characteristic L-shaped molecular structure. tRNAs have two regions of fundamental functional importance: the anti-codon, which is responsible for specific mRNA codon recognition, and the 3' end, to which the tRNAs corresponding amino acid is attached (by aminoacyl-tRNA synthetases). tRNAs cope with the degeneracy of the genetic code in two manners: having more than one tRNA (with a specific anti-codon) for a particular amino acid; and 'wobble' base-pairing, i.e. permitting non-standard base-pairing at the 3rd anti-codon position.
Source: RNAcentral
AGCUCGGUAGUCCAAUGGCAGAGACAGCGGGCUUAGACCCCGUCUAGUGAGAGUUCGAAUCUCUCCCGAGCUACCA